Long non-coding RNA from Melospiza melodia melodia, 787 nucleotides. RefSeq lists it as uncharacterized. The transcript is spliced from 3 exons. The record is from RefSeq and is a predicted model, not a curated record. NCBI's taxonomy places the organism in Eukaryota, Metazoa, Chordata, Aves, Passeriformes, Passerellidae.
GGAAAAACCCCAAAAGGCUGGAGAGAAGGUCACCCAAAACUUGAUUUUUUUUGAGAAGUCUAAAGCCUGUAUUUGGUCCUGCAGCACAGAUGGCAUCGCUGCACUGCACUGAACUGGUUUUUCCCCAGACCAAGCCUUUCUUACAGAUACGGAUUUGUUGGCCAGAAGAGAUGAAGAAAGAAAUAUUUUUUCUUUGGUGGUGAACCCAUCCUGUGGUAUUAAUACAUUUGUAAUUUGUCUCAAGCAAAAAUUGCACCUCAAGAGUAGUUCAGGGAACUUACCAGAUUAGUACCUUAGCUGGUCCAGUCCCCAUCAGAGAAGGGCUAAAUUCAGCAUUAGCUUGCUCAGGGCUUCAUCCAGUUAAAUUUUGAAGGAAAAGUUGAGGAACAGAACUGAAAGUUUUGUUUGAAAGAGCCUGUAACUUAACAAAUAAAUAUGACAAUCCUCCAUAGUGUUAUAGAGACAGUGUUUAACAUUUGUGUUGGUCUGUUUCACCUUCCAGCUGAGCUGCCUGUGCUCAUCAGGAUCCUCUGCCUUGUAAGGAGAGCUCUGGCUGUAAUGUUCCUAUUGAGAAAACAAAACUCCUUCCUCAUUACCUGCCAUUCUGCCUCACUUUACACUUCCCUGAUGUAAAACUGAAAUGUUUGAAGAACUGUAAUUAUAUAAUACUUAUAAUUUAUACAUAUUAUUAAUUAUAAUUAUAUAUAUAUAUUAUAGCUGUAUAAUCCCAACAGUUACCCAUGACACUGGCUGUUUGUAAGGGCUGGCUUGGAUUUCAGCUGCCCUG